UUUUUCAGUAAGCAUAACUCUAUCAUCUCCUCGAACUCACUUAUUUGGUGUUCGUCUUCCCUUAUACUUAGCUUGUGUUUGAAAGCUCAACACCCAAUUACAUCCUUUGCAAUAAUUCCAAAGUAAGCAUGAAUUGUUGUUGAAUCCUCAUCAGAUGACUAGGGUGCUUGAGUAGAUUGGGGUGCUUGAGGAGAUUGGGUGCUCGAGUAGUUUGAUUGCUCUUGGAGAUUUUAGCUUUUGAGGUUGUCCAUAAGUGGACGUGUUAUUUAUAUUCUAGAGCCCUUGGCCUUGAGUUUUACUUGGUUCUCACUCUGUGAAGCAUGCUGGUUGUUCUUUAUUUUAGAGAUGCCUUGUCACAUGUAUUAGAGAGCUUAGCUUUAUUGUUAUCAUGUUUUGAAAGGGUAAAUGCGUUAAUUAGCUUUGAGGCUAUGACAUGGUGUAGUUUUUGAUACCAUAUGUGAUGGAGAAUUUGUAAAAGAGUGAACUUGUUGUAUAGAUUGUAAACCUUUAAUAUCCUUACUGAUACUAGAUUCUUUGUUUCUUUCGUA
This is a long non-coding RNA of Argentina anserina (silverweed cinquefoil), 548 nucleotides long. RefSeq lists it as uncharacterized. The record is from RefSeq and is a predicted model, not a curated record. The transcript is spliced from 3 exons. Lineage: Eukaryota; Viridiplantae; Streptophyta; Magnoliopsida; Rosales; Rosaceae.